UCUCGGCAACGGAUAUCUCGGCUCUCGCAUCGAUGAAGAACGUAGCGAAAUGCGAUACCUGGUGUGAAUUGCAGAAUCCCGCGAACCAUCGAGUCUUUGAACGCAAGUUGCGCCCGAGGCCAUUCGGUCGAGGGCACGCCUGCCUGGGCGUCACGCAAAACACGCUC
RNAcentral lists this ribosomal RNA (167 nucleotides) under Calamagrostis breviligulata subsp. champlainensis. RNAcentral describes it as "Ammophila champlainensis 5.8S ribosomal RNA". It matches the Rfam family "5.8S ribosomal RNA". From Rfam's summary of the family: 5.8S ribosomal RNA (5.8S rRNA) is a component of the large subunit of the eukaryotic ribosome. It is transcribed by RNA polymerase I as part of the 45S precursor that also contains 18S and 28S rRNA. RNAcentral also lists the same sequence under 3 other names. Lineage: Eukaryota; Viridiplantae; Streptophyta; Magnoliopsida; Poales; Poaceae. The record is from RNAcentral.